GCCUGAUGUAGUGGUUUAAGCAUUGGGCUACAACUCCAGAGAUCAGGGUUUGAUUCCCUGCUCAGCCA
Molecule: non-coding RNA, 68 nt
Organism: Phrynosoma platyrhinos (Desert horned lizard)
Lineage: Eukaryota; Metazoa; Chordata; Lepidosauria; Squamata; Phrynosomatidae
Source: the annotation of a GenBank genome assembly